GAGAGGUGUGGAAUAUCACAGUAAUGAGUGGUGAGAGAUGUGGAAUAUCACAGCAAUGAGUGGUGAGAGGUGUGGAAUAUCACAGUAAAGAGUGGUGAGAGAUGUGACAUAUCACAGUAAUGAGUGGUGAUAGGUAUGGAAUAUCACAGUAAUGAGUGGUGAGAGGUUUGGAAUAUCACAGUAAUCUGUGGUGAUAGGUGUGGAAUAUCACAGUAAUGACUGGUGAGAGGUGUUCUUCAUGGAAUAUCACAGUAAUGAGUGGUGAGAGGUGUGGAAUAUCACAGUAAUGAGUAGUGAGAGGUGUGGAAUAUCACAGUAAUGAGUGGUGAGAGAUGUGGAAUAUCACAGUAAUGAGUGGUGAGAGGUGUGGAAUAUCACAGUAAUGAGUGGUGAGAGAUGUGGAAUAUCACAGUAAUGAGUGGUGAGAGUAGUGGAAUAUCACAGUAAUGAGUGGUGAGAGAUGUGGAAUAUCACAGUAAUGAGUGGUGAGAGAUGUGGAAUAUCACAGUAAUGAGUGGUGAGAGUAGUGGAAUAUCACAAUAAUGAGUGGUGAGAG
RNAcentral lists this long non-coding RNA (556 nucleotides) under Salmo salar (Atlantic salmon). RNAcentral describes it as "lncRNA (ENSSSAG00000113056.1)". Lineage: Eukaryota; Metazoa; Chordata; Actinopteri; Salmoniformes; Salmonidae. The record is from RNAcentral.